CACCAGAAUCUCAUUUUACAUUGUGACCCAGUAAGCAUGCAUGAUAAAUCAAAGAAAUAAAACUUUAUGUGAAUUAUUAUGUUCAUUUAUUCAUUAUUGACUAAUGAUACAUAUUUGUUAUUUGAUAGUACAUAUUUAAGUGUAAAAAGAAUUGAAUUGCUUUUAUUUUAUAACUGUGUUCCAAACAUUUUUUCAGUUUGUUGUGACCCAUUAAAAGAUUGCUAUCUGCAAUUUGAAAACCCUGAACUAAACAAUACAAAAACUACUUACACAGCAUUUACAUUGUAUUAGAUAUAAGUAAUCAAGAGAUAAUUUAAAAUAUAUGGGAAAUGUAUUUAGAUUAUAUGCAAAUAUUAUGUCAUUUUAUAUAAAAGACUUAAGCAUUUGUAGAAUUUGUUAUCCAUAGAGGUCUAGGAACCAAUCCUUGCAGAUACAGAAGGAUGACUGGAUAUACCCCAAGUUUCAGGUCCUUGAUUUAUGGGGCUUUGGACAUUAUAUAUAUAUAUAUAUUAAAUUUCCAUUAUUCCCCAAAGUUUCAGUGUUUAGUUUGGAGUUAUGGUUCUUCAGAAGCAAAUUUUUGAAAAAAAACCUUACUUUUUUCAAAAUAAAGCCUAUAUUAUUGAUUUUAAUUAUAAAUGCUUCAUUUAUGUUAGUUAUGUAUGUACAUGACAAUUGCAAUACAUUAUAUACAUUGAUAAAUGAAAAAAAAAAAAAAAGUGUGCUUCAACUUAUGAACAUUUUUUAGUUAUGGG
RNAcentral lists this long non-coding RNA (752 nucleotides) under Androctonus crassicauda. The record is from RNAcentral. Lineage: Eukaryota; Metazoa; Arthropoda; Arachnida; Scorpiones; Buthidae.